UCAGGUGAAGCUACUUUCAAAUUGCCAAGAGGGCCACUCAUAUCAUCGCCGAGAGGGCCAAUUCAUAUCAUUGCCGAGAAAGCCAUUUCAUAUCAUUGCCAAGAGGGCCACUUCAUAGCAUUACCGAGAGGUCCAUUCCAUAUCAUUGCCGAGAGGGCUAUUCAUAUUAUUUGUCGAGAGGGUUAUUUUAUAUCUGUUGACAUGUAAGACAUAAAUGCUGGCAUCGAGGA
RNAcentral lists this long non-coding RNA (230 nucleotides) under Capsicum annuum. RNAcentral's name for it is "long non-coding RNA (CANN_LNC007811)". The record is from RNAcentral. Lineage: Eukaryota; Viridiplantae; Streptophyta; Magnoliopsida; Solanales; Solanaceae.